This is a non-coding RNA of Microcebus murinus (gray mouse lemur), 2708 nucleotides long. NCBI's taxonomy places the organism in Eukaryota, Metazoa, Chordata, Mammalia, Primates, Cheirogaleidae. The record is from RefSeq and is a predicted model, not a curated record.
AAGGGCGCGACACACGGCUCUGGCCACAGUUGUCAACGCUGUUGAGCCACUUAUUCUUGUCGCCACUCACGCCUGGCGCCUGCACCGCGGGGUGCCGAGCGGGGUCGAGGCGGCGCCCCCGGGCGGGAGGCCCGGGGCUACCGGUGCGAGCCCGCCGCGCCGCCUGCCGGGAGCGAAAUGGCGGCGAAGGGAAGGCGCCUUCCCGAGGGGAGCCGGCAGCCACUCGGGUCCUUCGCCAGGACCACGUCUUUGAGGCCAGUCUCAACUCUCCUCUUCUGGAAUCCACGGGGACAGAACCCAGACGCCUGAGGUGGCACUUGCGGCCCCCACCGCCUCGGUUAUAAAGCCCAACGGCCGCGCUCAGACCCGUCCCCGGGUGCGGCCCCGCCCUGAGGACGCCGGCUGAGGCCGCUGCGGGCGCUCCCUGCGCUCCCUCAUCCGCGCGUCAGCGUCUCAGCCCUCAGGUGCACAUUACCAAACGACGGGCACGGACGGUGACGAGGCGGACGUGGUCUGAGUCUGGAAGGCAGACUGAUAAGCCCAAUACUCCAACUCGCCGGGGAGGGUGCCGUGAAUUGGAAAGCUAGGACGCGCCACAGCCUGGGAGGACCAAGGCAGGUGUCCCACGGAAACCUCUGACUGCCAUGGGAAGGAAAGAGCAAAGGAGCGACUCUCUCCUUUCCUGGCUUUGAUGAAAGCUGCUACACUGGAAAGGCCCACGUGUUGAGGAACUGAGGGAAACCUCCAGACAAUUCCACCCAAUAGUCAGCAAGGAAUUGAGGACCUCAGUCUAAUAGGCCUUGAGGAACUGAAUCCUGCCAACAGCACAUAAGUGAGUGUGGAAGUGUAUCCUCCAUUUGAGACUUCAAAAGAGACCUCAGCCCUAGCUGACACUUUGAUUGCAGCCCUGUGAGAGACCCUGAAGCAGAGAACCCAGCUAGGCCUCACCUGGACUUCUGACCCACAAAAACUAGCUUCUCAGCCUUGAACGAGGAAAGCUUUCUCUGCUGGAGCCUGGUCUCCUCUCCGCCUAUCAACAGGAAGUUGAAGAGAAGUUGUGUUGUCCUGCCCAAGAUAACCACGUAUGUUCUCGCAGAUGCUUCUUGGGUCACACACAGGGUGAACAGAGUCACAACAUAUUAAGGUGGUAACAGCCCAUUCCCUCUGCAGAAGCAUAAAUUUCCUACAUUCAAACCCAAAUGGUGAGCCUGAGUGUACUGAGUGCUUAGAAUUUUUUAAAGAGAAUUUUAUUGAAGUAUAUCAUACAUGCAAAAACGAGCAGAAGCUAAAAGGGUGCAGUGCAAUGAAUUUCCACAAACUGAACGUCCCCAUAUACCACCACCCACAUCAAGAGAGAGCACAGCAGCGAAACCCCUCACUCACAUCCUCCCUCCCUGUCAUUACACCCCACAAGAGUAACCUCGACUCUGACUUCUAACCAUAUUUUGGGGAAAACUAAAAUUGUAUAUAAGUGGAAUUAUAAUAUUUUUACUCUUUUGUCUUGGGCUUCCCAUGUUGUGUGUAUAGUUUGUUCAAUUCCAUUUAUGCUUAAUGUUCCAUUGAAUGAAUAGACAACAACUGAGUAAACCAUUCUUCUAUUAGGGCAACUUGGAUAGUUUCCAAUUUGAGGCUAUGAGUAUUUCAGUGCUACUAUGAAUACUCUACUAUAUAUCUCAUGGUGAGCAUAAGCUCAUAUUUCUCUUAGUUGUUUACUAGGAGAAUUGUUGGAUCAAAGGCAAAUAUAUGUUGUUUUAAUAGGUCCUGUAAAAGAGUUUUCCAGUGUUGUACAUUAUACCUUCCCUACAAGUAGUAUAAGGAAAGUUCCAAUUGCUCCACAUCUUCACCAAAAUUUGGUAUUUUCUAUCUAUUUAAUUUUAGCCAUCCUCUGUGUAUGUGUGCCUAUUUAGUGUUUAUGACACAUUUCUUUUUUAAACUCAAUUUUGUUGAGGUAUGAUUACAUAUGAGAAAUGACAUCCAUUUAAAAUAUACAAGAUGAUGAGCUUUGAAAGAUGGAUACACCAAUAAAACCACUGCCACGAUCAACACCCAGGAUAGUUCAAAUCCCAAAAGUCUUCUCAUGGCCCGUCUGCACUUUCUGGGAGAGGCUCUGGAAGAGGAAUGGGCUUCCCUUCCUGGUUCUGGGGCGACCCACUCGCCAGUCUCCAGCAGAGCACGUCUCUGAGAGACUUCGCUGCUGGGCUGUGCAGUUUCUCCCGCGGUGGCCUCCUGCAGGACACAAUGUUUCCAGGCUCUUGACAAGGGUAGCAUUGGCAGGAGCCCCAGAUAGUGUAGCAUUAAUUAUAUUUAAUGUUAGUUGAUUUAAACUUACUGUGCAAUGCAAGCUUAGAUUUUACUAAAAGUUUCUUUCAGAAUUGGUCUUGCUAGAGUUUUAUGGCUAUUACCUCUAUUAUAUAAAUGAAUUUCAUGGACUAUAAGUUUCUCAGUGACAAAUUCUUGACUUAUUCAGAACUUUUCCCUAUGAGUUUUUAAUCAGAAAAACAAAAAAACAAACUCUGCCUCCAAAUAGUCUGAGGACUCCCUCCCUCUGCCAAAUGUUAGUAAUAACGCACACGUGGCACGUCCUUGAUUCUUCCUAUACUUUAGGUUGAGGCUUCCAGGUUUAGAAAUGAAACAGACUCUGGGUGAAUUUCAUCUCUGGGUCUUCUCAUCUGUGUUACAGUAAGCAAGCCCCUCAGUCUCUCUGAGCU